This 1595-nucleotide ribosomal RNA is filed under the name Parapronoe campbelli. RNAcentral's name for it is "bacterial SSU rRNA". It matches the Rfam family "Eukaryotic small subunit ribosomal RNA", at positions 607 to 1780 of the family's 1831-position model. The record is from RNAcentral. Lineage: Eukaryota; Metazoa; Arthropoda; Malacostraca; Amphipoda; Pronoidae.
AUGUUGCUGCGGUUAAAGGCUCGCAGUUGAAUGUCAGUUAUAAUACGCGAUGAGAUGCCGGGACGUUGUUCGUGUGGUGACCUCGUGUCUCGCUCGUUCCGUCCCCUGAGCGCAUUUCUCGCAAUCUAACAAUAAUUACGGAGCCCAUCGCGGAUGCGUAUAUGUGACUGUUGCUUUUGUGACUUUUGCAUGUGUUCGUGGUAGCUCUGUAGUUGACACCUUGAGUAAAUCAGAGUGCUUAACGCAGUCGUUUAAGUACCGGCGGCUCGUUCGUGCUUGUCGCGUUCAAGCUUGUCGGAGGCGGAUUUUAUCCGUUUAGACAUUGUCUUUGCUUUGCAUGGUACGUCGAAAGACGCCGUGUAAGUUGGUCGCGCUUACGGUUAGACACACAGCUUUGUGUGCGCGUGCACCAACGAGCACGGAAUGAUAUGAAAGGGAUGGUUCGAAGGCAUUGGUAUUGCGAGGCGAGAGGUGAAAUUCUAUGACCCUCGCAAGACUCCCCGAAGCGAAAGCGUCUGCCUAGGACGUCUUCAUUAAUCAUGAACGAAAGUUGAAGGAUCGAAGGCGAUCAGAUACCGCCCUAGUUUUAACCGUAAACUAUACCAACCAUCAAUCCGUCGGAGCGUUCCCUUACUCCCGUUGACUGGCUUACGCUGGGAUGCGUGGACAAGUGUAAGCUCGAUGGGCAGCUCCUCCACUACGGAAAACCAGAGUUUUUCGGUUCCGGGGGGAGUCUGGUUGCAAAGCUGAAACUUAAAGGAAUUGACGGAAAGGCACCACCAGGCGUGGAGCUUGCGGCUCAAUUUGACUCAACACGGGAAAUCUCACCAGACCCAAACAUCUUUAAUGACUGACAGACUGAAAGCUCUUUCUUGAUAAAGUGGAUGGUGGUGCAUGGCCGUUCUUAGUUGGUGGAGUGAUCUGUCUGGUUAAUUCCGAUAACGAACGAGACUCUCCCCUGCUAACGAACCUCGGUUCUUGUAGACAGUGUGAUUCGAAUCAUGGAUAUAUACUCGCGAGAGUUUAUCCUGACGAUGUCCACUGAUCCUUGUUGCGUCGGAAGUGGUUCUCGUUAUUGGCGUGCGUGUUUGGGAUGUACGUGGGGCUUGUCUUUGCGUUGCCCUUUCGCGUUUCUGCUGGUUCGGUCCCUAUCGGCUGCGGCUUGGAGUACGUUUCUUCUUAGAGGGAUUGUCGACUACUAAGUCGAAAGAAACAGAGAGCAAUAACAGGUCUGUGAUGCCCUUAGAUGUUCUGGGCUGCACGCGUGUUACAAUGCCGGGAUCAACGGGUAAUUACACAUCUCGUGUCCUACUCCGAAAGGAGCGGGUAAACCUUUGAAAUCCCUGACGCGUGAGAGACACGUUCUUUCCGCACUAUGGCUUGCUUGGGACUGGGGAUUGCAAUUAUUCCCCACGAACGAGGAAUGCCUUGUAGUGGCGAGUCACAGAGCUCGCUGCGACUCUGUCCCUGCCCUUUGUACACACCGCCCGUCGCUACUACCGAUUGAGUGUACCAGUGAGAUGCUUGGACUGGCGAACCGAUGUCGCAAGACUCGGCGUACGACACAAAGAGACUCGAACUGGUGCACUAGAGAA